GACAGAGGGGGCAAGCGUUGUUCGGAAUUACUGGGCGUAAAGGGCUCGUAGGCGGCCAACUAAGUCAGACGUGAAAUCCCUCGGCUUAACCGGGGAACUGCAUCUGAUACUGGAUGGCUUGAGUUCGGGAGAGGGAUGCGGAAUUCCAGGUGUAGCGGUGAAAUGCGUAGAUAUCUGGAGGAACACCGGUGGCGAAGGCGGCAUCCUGGACCGACACUGACGCUGAGGAGCGAAAGCCAGGGGAGCAAACGGG
This 253-nucleotide ribosomal RNA is filed under the name uncultured bacterium. RNAcentral describes it as "partial 16S ribosomal RNA". It matches the Rfam family "Bacterial small subunit ribosomal RNA", at positions 524 to 776 of the family's 1533-position model. The record is from RNAcentral.